Molecule: ribosomal RNA, 263 nt
Filed under: uncultured bacterium
Lineage: Bacteria
Description: partial 16S ribosomal RNA
Rfam family: Bacterial small subunit ribosomal RNA
Source: RNAcentral
GUCCACGCCGUAAACGUUGGGAACUAGGUGUGGGCGACAUUCCACGUUGUCCGUGCCGCAGCUAACGCAUUAAGUUCCCCGCCUGGGGAGUACGGCCGCAAGGCUAAAACUCAAAGGAAUUGACGGGGGCCCGCACAAGCGGCGGAGCAUGUGGCUUAAUUCGACGCAACGCGAAGAACCUUACCAAGGCUUGACAUACACCGGAAACAUCUAGAGAUAGGUGCCCCCUUGUGGCUGGUGUACAGGUGGUGCAUGGCUGUCGU